Non-coding RNA from Theobroma cacao (cacao), 1033 nucleotides. Lineage: Eukaryota; Viridiplantae; Streptophyta; Magnoliopsida; Malvales; Malvaceae. The record is from RefSeq and is a predicted model, not a curated record.
CCAUUUUUUAUUUUAAAUAGUUAUUAUUCAGAAUUCAUAAUGUCUGUGUGAUUCAUUUCUCAUUCUUACUGGUACCGGAGUGUUCGAGAAGGCUCUUUGCAAGCGGAACGAAACCACAGCACUAGCAAAAAUGUCGGCCAUGAAUGAAGAGAUCCAGCGCAGAUAGUAUGAGGAUCUUGAUAGUUUACUGAUCGUGUUGAGGGAGAAGUCGGCGUUCAACGUCGCAAUUAACACUCACUGUAAGUGGUCAAAGCUGCAUUACAUCACAAAGACUCUCCAACAGAAGGGGGAGUACGAUCCAGUUAAGCGUACCUGUUUUGAAAUGCUCCUGGAUGUCUAUCCACAGGGGUACUUUUACGUCUGUCUCUUGCACAGCAUCAUGAUUCACCAGAUCACUGAGAGGCAAUCAAUGGACCAUGAGCUAUGGUUUGCCAUUGGCAAGAGCAAGGCGCGACUAUCAAAGCAAGAGUUCUGCCUCAUCACUGUGCUGAAGUUUGGUCCAAUGCCCGAUGUGUUCAGACGACCGUACGAGGUUGUUACGGAUGGAAUUCAUGCAAGAUACUAGAAUAGGCAGGACAACGUUAAGCUGCAGGCUUUGCUUGAUACCUUUCGCGGGGGUCACUUUCAGCUACCAGGAGGCUCGACCAAGAUGGCACUCGUCUUUUUCUCGAAUAACAUUUUAUUUGGUCAAGACUACCGUAGAUGGGUGACGCCUUGGUUGCUGUCAUUGGUGGAGGACAUCGACGUUUGAAAUGUCUUCCCAUGGGGGCACUAUGUUUGGAAGCUGACCUUGGACUACCUUUUGAAAGGGUUCGAAGACUUGAGCGUGACAAAGGAAACACGGUUAUGCUACAACAUUUACGGAUUCGCAUAGGUGAUACAGUUCUGGGCAAUUGAGGCAAUUUUGGCCCUCCGAAAAAUAGUUACCCCCUCUGGUCCGAAGGACAAUGUCCACCCACGAAUGUGCAAAUGGGAUUGCAAUCAGAAGCCAAAAAACUUCUACAAGACAAUUCAGAAGUUAGAGUCAUUUGAC